This 476-nucleotide ribosomal RNA is filed under the name uncultured bacterium. RNAcentral's name for it is "bacterial SSU rRNA". It matches the Rfam family "Bacterial small subunit ribosomal RNA", at positions 917 to 1382 of the family's 1533-position model. The record is from RNAcentral.
GGGCCCGCACAAGCAGCGAGGUAUGUGGUUUAAUUCGACGCUACGCGAAGAACCUUACCUGGGCUUGACAUGCUUGAGAAAGGACCAAGAAACUGGUCCCCCCAUGACCGCAAGGUCAUGGCUCAUCCACAGGUGCUGCAUGGUUGUCGUCAGCUCGUGUCGUGAGAUGUAAGGUUAAGUCCUUGAACGAGCGCAACCCCUUUCGUCAGUUGCAAACCAGCAAUGGCGCACCCUGACGAUACUGCCAGCUAAAAGUUGGAGGAAGGAGGGGAUGACGUCAAAUCCUCAUGGCCUUUAUGUCCAGGGCUACACACAUGCGACAAUGGUCGGUACAACGGGUUGCAACACCGCGAGGUGAAGCCAAUCCCUAAAAACCGGCCUCAGUUCAGAUUGCAGACUGCAAUUCGUCUACAUGAAGAUGGAGUUGCUAGUAACCGCGGGUCAGCUACACCGCGGUGAAUAUGUUCCCGGGCCUU